CAAUAGCGUAUAUUAAAGUUGUUGCAGUUAAAAAGCUCGUAGUUGGAUUUCGGGGCAGCCUGGCUGGUCCGCCGCAAGGCGAGUACUGGUCAGCCGCCCUUCCUCUCGAAAGCCCCGACUGCUCUUUAUUGCAGUGGUCGGGUAGUUCGGGACGUUUACUUUGAAAAAAUUAGAGUGUUCAAGGCAGGCCUACGCCUGAAUACAUUAGCAUGGAAUAAUGGAAGAGGACCUCGGUCCUAUUUUGUUGGUUUCCAGGACCGAAGUAAUGAUUAAGAGGGACAGUCGGGGGCAUUCGUAUUUAAUUGUCAGAGGUGAAAUUCUCGGAUUUAUGAAAGACGAACAACUGCGAAAGCAUUUGCCAAGGAUGUUUUCAUUAA
RNAcentral lists this ribosomal RNA (377 nucleotides) under uncultured eukaryote. RNAcentral's name for it is "partial 18S ribosomal RNA". It matches the Rfam family "Eukaryotic small subunit ribosomal RNA", at positions 592 to 976 of the family's 1831-position model. The record is from RNAcentral.